GAGGCUAUAGCUCAGUGGUAGAGCAUAUGCUUCGCGUGCACAAAGUGCUGGGCUCAAUCCCCAGUACCUCCA
This 72-nucleotide transfer RNA is filed under the name Camelus bactrianus (Bactrian camel). It matches the Rfam family "tRNA". From Rfam's summary of the family: Transfer RNA (tRNA) molecules are approximately 80 nucleotides in length. Their secondary structure includes four short double-helical elements and three loops (D, anti-codon, and T loops). RNAcentral also lists the same sequence under 1 other name. The record is from Rfam by way of RNAcentral. Lineage: Eukaryota; Metazoa; Chordata; Mammalia; Artiodactyla; Camelidae.